Phytophthora ramorum (sudden oak death agent) is the source of this 73-nucleotide transfer RNA. It matches the Rfam family "tRNA". Rfam says of the family: Transfer RNA (tRNA) molecules are approximately 80 nucleotides in length. Their secondary structure includes four short double-helical elements and three loops (D, anti-codon, and T loops). The record is from Rfam. NCBI's taxonomy places the organism in Eukaryota, Oomycota, Peronosporomycetes, Peronosporales, Peronosporaceae.
GGGCACGUAGCUCAAAUGGCAAGAGCACCGCGUUUUUAGCGAACAGACACGGGUUCAAUUUCCAUCGUGUCCA